This 793-nucleotide ribosomal RNA is filed under the name Exiguobacterium indicum. RNAcentral describes it as "bacterial SSU rRNA". It matches the Rfam family "Bacterial small subunit ribosomal RNA", at positions 86 to 881 of the family's 1533-position model. Lineage: Bacteria; Bacillati; Bacillota; Bacilli; Caryophanales. The record is from RNAcentral.
CUGGAAUGAUCGGCGGACGGGUGAGUAACACCUAGGGAACCUGCCUCAGGGAUUGGGAUAACUCCGAUAAAUCGGAGCUAAUACCGGAUAGUUCAACGGACCGCAUGGUCCUCUGAUGAGAGGCGCUCCUGCGUCACCUUGAUAUGGCCUUGCGGUGCAUUACCUAGUUGGCGAGGUAACGGCCCACCAAGGCGACCAUGCAUAUCCGACCUGAGAGGGUGAUCCGCCACACUGGGACUGAUACACGGUCCAAACUCCUACCGGAGGCAACAGCACGGAAUCUUCCUCGAUGGACGAGAUUCUGAUGGAGCUACGCCGCGUGAGUGAUGAAGGUUUUCGGAUCGUAAAACUCUGUUGUAAGGGAAGAACNCUGACGAGAGGGAAUGCUCGGACCUUGACGGUACCUUACGAGAAAGCCACGGCUAACUACGUGCCAGCAGCCGCUUGUAAUACGUAUGUGGCAAGCGUUGUCCGGAAUUAUUGGGCGUAAAGCGCGCGCAUGCGGCCUUUUAUUUCUGAUGUGAAAGCCCCCGGCUCGACCGGGGAUGGCCAUUGGAAACUGGAAGGCUUGGGGACAGAAGACAACAGUGGAAUUCCACUUGUAGCGGCGAAAUGCGAAUAGAUGGGAGGAACACCAGUGGCGACCGCGACUCUUUGGUCUGCAACUGACGCUGAGGCGCGAGAGCGUGGGGAGCCACUGGAUUCAUACACUGUAGUCCAUCCANAACUAUGAUGCUAUGGUUCGGGGUUCCGACCUNGCGUUGAGGCUACGUGUACNCACUCGCCUGCGAGU